GACGAACGCUGGCGGCGUGCUUAACACAUGCAAGUCGAACGGUGAAGCGCCUUCCUUUUUGGUGGGUGUGGAUGAGUGGCGAACGGGUGAGUAACACGUGAGUAACCUGCCCCCUUCUUCUGGAUAACCGCAUGAAAGUGUGGCUAAUACGGGAUAUUCUGGGUCUGUCGCAUGAUGGGUCUGGGAAAGAUAUUGUUUCGGUGGGGGAUGGGCUCGCGGCCUAUCAGCUUGUUGGUGGGGUGAUGGCCUACCAAGGCGGUGACGGGUAGCCGGCCUGAGAGGGUGGACGGUCACACUGGGACUGAGACGCGGCACAGACUCCUACGGGAGGCAGCAGUGGGGAAUAUUGCACAAUGGGCGCAAGCCUGAUGCAGCGACGCCGCGUGAGGGAUGGAGGCCUUCGGGUUGUGAACCUCUUUCGCCAGUGAAGCAGGCCUGCCUCGUUUGUGGGUGGGUUGACGGUAGCUGGAUAAGAAGCGCCGGCUAACUACGUG
This 494-nucleotide ribosomal RNA is filed under the name uncultured bacterium. RNAcentral's name for it is "partial 16S ribosomal RNA". It matches the Rfam family "Bacterial small subunit ribosomal RNA", at positions 28 to 507 of the family's 1533-position model. The record is from RNAcentral.